UCCUCUUUAGAAGUGGAUAUGUCUGUUUUCUGUGGCAAGGAUGCCACCAUAACACUGAAUGGUCAUAAUGACUAUUUGUUUAAACAGAGAAAUGAACAUAUUAGAGUUGUCAGAUCCCCAAUGGAGGCCAUUGCAACACCCUCGUAUUCAGUACCAAGCAAAAAUGUAACUAUCACACUUUCGAUAAGUGAUGCAGCCAAACUAAAUGACCCGCGGAAAAAAUACGAGUGGGCAUGCAAGAAUCCCUGUCGAUGCCAGGGAAAUUUCGAGGGACUGACCUAUCACAUUACAGAACGCUGCCAACCAGAUCCAUUUCAGUUCAUU
This is a non-coding RNA of Plectropomus leopardus (leopard coralgrouper), 324 nucleotides long. Lineage: Eukaryota; Metazoa; Chordata; Actinopteri; Perciformes; Serranidae. The record is from RefSeq and is a predicted model, not a curated record.